AGGACGAACGCUGGCGGCGUGCCUAACACAUGCAAGUCGAGCGAGGAGAUUCCUCGGGAUGAUCCUAGCGGCGGACGGGUGAGUAACACGUGGGCAACCUGCCUCAUAGAGAGGAAUAGCCUUCCGAAAGGGAGAUUAAUACCUCAUAACAUUGCAGUUUCGCAUGGAACAGCAAUUAAAGGAGUAAUCCGCUAUGAGAUGGGCCCGCGGCGCAUUAGCUAGUUGGUGAGGUAACGGCUCACCAAGGCGACGAUGCGUAGCCGACCUGAGAGGGUGAUCGGCCACAUUGGGACUGAGACACGGCCCAGACUCCUACGGGAGGCAGCAGUGGGGAAUAUUGCACAAUGGGGGAAACCCUGAUGCAGCAACGCCGCGUGAGUGAUGACGGCCUUCGGGUUGUAAAGCCCUGUCUUCAGGGACGAUAAUGACGGUACCUGAGGAGGAAGCCACGGCUAACUACGUGCCAGCCGCCGC
Molecule: ribosomal RNA, 474 nt
Filed under: uncultured bacterium
Lineage: Bacteria
Description: bacterial SSU rRNA
Rfam family: Bacterial small subunit ribosomal RNA
Source: RNAcentral